This 1221-nucleotide non-coding RNA is filed under the name Cryptosporidium parvum. The record is from RNAcentral. Lineage: Eukaryota; Apicomplexa; Conoidasida; Eucoccidiorida; Cryptosporidiidae.
CUGUUCAUUUUCCUUAAGCAUUAACUGAUAAAUACUGGAAUUCUUUCCCAGCUUAUUAGCUUGUGGAGUUAGCAAAGGUAAGUAAAGUCCAUGUGACUCUAAUAAAAGUAAUUUAUCGCGUGGAAGUUUGGGGAUUAUUUUUUGAUAGAUCGGAUGUUUAACAUAAUUAUCAUUUCCAAUAUUUGAUAACACCCAAAAUAGUUGAGCUGCUGCAAAUAAAAUCAUCCAAGUAUAGAAAUAACCCAGGUAAAUUCCAUCCAAGUAUUCUCUAUAUGAUUUGAGGGUGCUGACCAUAAUAAAAACUACCAAUAAAUUCAGAAUAGAAAUAAACCAGUAGUAUACAGCAUAUGGGUUUCUAAGUAGGGAAAUCCUUCCAAAUAAUUUAUUAUGAUAAUACCAAAAAUUAAGCAUUAAUGCCAACCAAUAAUUUUUCCUAGUCCAGCAAAUCUGGAAAGCAGUAUUGCCAACAGCCGGAUUUUCGUAAUUUGAAUGGGAUAUUAGAUGAAUUAGACCUAAAUCGCACAAAAAGCUAACUGUUUCAUCAUCAACAUCUCCUGAACACGCAGCAUGUAGCAAUGUAUUCCCUUUAUGAUCUCUAUGUCCUAUGUUUGCUCCAUGACUUAUUAGCCACUGAAUAAUACCGUAAUUUCCUCUUUUAGUUGCCCAGAAUAUAGGAGUUUGUCCUAAAAUAUCCUGCUCUUCUAGAGAAUAUCCUUGAAGAUAAAGCCAUUCCAUUACUCUCAGUAAGUCUUGAACUCUACCUUCGGCCACUUCUGAUGCAGCAGUGAGCAUUAAUCCAAACUGGUUCCUAUUUUUAACAUAAAAAAUUUUGUUCCCAUGUUUUUCAUAUAAAUACUUUAGCAUGGAAAAGUUUCCAGAUUUAAUACAGUAAUGCACAGUUGUAUCUCCAUUAAUAUCUCCCAUAAAUGGAUCACAACCUAAGCUCAAUAAGUGAAUGGAAACAUCAUCCCAUCUAUAAUAUACAGACCAGUGGAGCGCAUUUGAUUCAUUCAAAAUGCCAGUAUUCCCUGUUUCUAUUAAUUGUUGAAUAAUAUUAUGUAGUGUGUUUUUAUCUCUUCUUUGAGCUGCUAUUGCUAACUCGUUAGCAGUGUAUUCUGCUUCAUAACAGUUCGACCUUUUACUCAGUUCCAUCAGGCCAACAUUUCACUAUUUUAUAGAAAAUUUGGCAAUACUGGGUCGAACUUAAAUUCUCGAUAUUUA